UAGGGAAUAUUGGACAAUGGGGGCAACCCUGAUCCAGCCAUGCCGCGUGAGUGAAGAAGGCCCUCGGGUUGUAAAGCUCUUUUGUCCGGAAAGAAAAGCAUUCGGUGAAUACCCGGAUGUUCUGACGGUACCGUAAGAAUAAGCACCGGCUAACUACGUGCCAGCAGCCGCGGUAAUACGUAGGGUGCGAGCGUUAAUCGGAAUUACUGGGCGUAAAGCGUGCGCAGGCGGUUUUGUAAGACAGAGGUGAAAUCCCCGGGCUCAACCUGGGAACUGCCUUUGUGACUGCAAGGCUGGAGUGCGGCAGAGGGCGAUGGAAUUCCGCGUGUAGCAGUGAAAUGCGUAGAUAUGCGGAGGAACACCGAUGGCGAAGGCAAUCCCCUGGGCCUGCACUGACGCUCAUGCACGAAAGCGUGGGGAGCAAACA
This 427-nucleotide ribosomal RNA is filed under the name uncultured bacterium. Its description in RNAcentral is "bacterial SSU rRNA". It matches the Rfam family "Bacterial small subunit ribosomal RNA", at positions 355 to 774 of the family's 1533-position model. The record is from RNAcentral.